RNAcentral lists this ribosomal RNA (482 nucleotides) under uncultured bacterium. Its description in RNAcentral is "partial 16S ribosomal RNA". It matches the Rfam family "Bacterial small subunit ribosomal RNA", at positions 30 to 507 of the family's 1533-position model. The record is from RNAcentral.
AUUGAACGCUAGCGGCAUGCUUUACACAUGCAAGUCGAACGGUAACAGCUCUUCGGUGGCUGACGAGUGGCGAACGGGUGAGUAAUACAUCGGAACGUGCCUAGUAGUGGGGGAUAACUACUCGAAAGAGUAGCUAAUACCGCAUGAGAUCUAAGGAUGAAAGCAGGGGACCUUCGGGCCUUGCGCUACUAGAGCGGCUGAUGGCAGAUUAGGUAGUUGGUGGGAUAAAAGCUUACCAAGCCGACGAUCUGUAGCUGGUCUGAGAGGACGACCAGCCACACUGGGACUGAGACACGGCCCAGACUCCUACGGGAGGCAGCAGUGGGGAAUUUUGGACAAUGGGCGCAAGCCUGAUCCAGCAAUGCCGCGUGCAGGAUGAAGGCCUUCGGGUUGUAAACUGCUUUUGUACGGAACGAAAAGCCCUCUUCUAAUACAGGAGGGUCAUGACGGUACCGUAAGAAUAAGCACCGGCUAACUACGUG